GUAAAAUUUAAAGGUAGUUUAAUAAAAUUUAAACUUUGGGUGUUUAAGAUAAGAGGAAUCUUC
Molecule: transfer RNA, 63 nt
Filed under: Gordius sp. VVA-2019
Lineage: Eukaryota; Metazoa; Nematomorpha; Gordioida; Gordea; Gordiidae
Description: tRNA-Pro
Source: RNAcentral